CAUCAGAUGACUGAAAAGUAAGUGUAGGUCUUUUAAACCUAUAAUAGUAAUUAACGACUACUUCUGAUGA
This 70-nucleotide transfer RNA is filed under the name Penaeus semisulcatus. Its description in RNAcentral is "tRNA-Lys". Lineage: Eukaryota; Metazoa; Arthropoda; Malacostraca; Decapoda; Penaeidae. The record is from RNAcentral.